This is a long non-coding RNA of Clupea harengus (Atlantic herring), 1065 nucleotides long. The record is from Ensembl. NCBI's taxonomy places the organism in Eukaryota, Metazoa, Chordata, Actinopteri, Clupeiformes, Clupeidae.
AUAUAAAAGUACAUCAUGUAUGUUUUGUGGUUUUGUACUCAAAAGUACAUCAUGUAUGUUUUGUGGUGGUGUGUGGUGGGGUGUGGAGGUGGUGUAGUGGUGUGUGGAGGUGUGUGGUGGGGUGUGGAGGUGUGUGGUGGGGUGUGGAGGUGGUGUGUAGUGGUGUGUGGAGGCGUGUGGAGGUGGUGUAGUGGGGUGUGGAGGUGGUGUAGUGGUGUGUGGAGGUGUGUGGAGGUGGUGUAGUGGUGUGUGGAGGUGUGUGGUGGUGUGUGGAGGCGUGUGGAGGUGGUGUAGUGGGGUGUGGAGGUGGUGUAGUGGUGUGUGGAGGUGUGUGGAGGGGGUGUAGUGGUGUGUGGAGGUGUGUAGUGGUGUGUGGAGGUGUGUGGUGGUGUGUGGAGGCGUGUGGAGGUGGUGUAGUGGGGUGUGGAGGUGGUGUAGUGGGGUGUGGAGGCGUGUGGAGGUGUGUGGUGGGGUGUGGAGGUGUGUGGAGGUGGUGUAGUGGUGUGUGGAGGUGUGUGGAGGUGGUGUAGUGGUGUGUGGAGGCGUGUAGUGGUGUGUGGAGGUGGUGUAGUGGGGUGUGGAGGUGGUGUAGUGGUGUGUGGAGGUGGUGUGGAGGCGUGUGGAGGUGGUGUAGUGGUGUGUGGAGGCGUGUAGUGGUGUGUGGAGGUGGUGUAGUGGUGUGUGGAGGUGGUGUAGUGGUGUGUAGUGGUGUGUGGAGGUGGUGUAGUGGGGUGUGGAGGUGGUGUAGUGGUGUGUGGAGGCGUGUGGAGGUGUUGUAGUGGGGUGUGGAGGUGGUGUAGUGGUGUGUGGAGGUGUGUAGUGGGGUGUGGAGGGGGUGUAGUGGUGUGUGGAGGCGUGUGGAGGUGGUGUAGUGGUGUGUGGAGGUGGUGUAGUGGUGUGUGGAGGCGUGUGGAGGUGGUGUAGUGGUGUGUGGAGGCGUGUGGAGGUGUUGUAGUGGGGUGUGGAGGUGGUGUAGUGGUGUGUGGAGGUGUGUAGUGGGGUGUGGAGGGGGUGUAGUGGUGUGUGGAGGUGUGUAGUGGUGUGUGGAGGUGUGUAGUGGUGUGU